Oncorhynchus tshawytscha (Chinook salmon) is the source of this 595-nucleotide long non-coding RNA. RefSeq lists it as uncharacterized. The record is from RefSeq and is a predicted model, not a curated record. The transcript is spliced from 4 exons. NCBI's taxonomy places the organism in Eukaryota, Metazoa, Chordata, Actinopteri, Salmoniformes, Salmonidae.
GACAGACAGGUUGUGUAGUCUAGGACAGGUCAGUUACACUAGGAGAUAGAUGGUGACAGACAGACAGGUUGUGUAGUCUAGGACAGGUCAGUUCCACUAGGAGAUAGGUGGUUACAGACAGACAGGUUGUGUAGUCUAGGACAGGUCAGUUACAGACAGGUUGUGUAGUCUAGGACAGGUCAGUUCCACUAGGAGAUAGGUGGUUACAGACAGACAGGUUGUGUAGUCUAGGACAGGUCAGUUACAGACAGGUUGUGUAGUCUAGGACAGGUCAGUUACACUAGGAGAUAGAUGGUUAUAGACAGACAGGUUGUGUAGUCUAGGACAGGUCAGUUCCACUAGGAGAUAGAUGGUUACAGACAGACAGGUCAGUUCCACUAGGAGAUAGAUGGUUACAGACAGACAGGUCAGUUCCACUAGGAGAUAGAUGGUUACAGACAGGUCAGUUCCACUAGGAGAUAGAUGGUUACAGACAGACAGGUCAGUUCCACUAGGAGAUAGAUGGUUACAGACAGACAGGUCAGUUCCACUAGGAGAUAGAUGGUUACAGACAGACAGUGUAGGAGCAAUAUAAAGAUGAUUAUAAAAUGUGAGA